GCAGGGGUAGGGAAGCGGUCAAACCCGCAGGGUUUAGGACCCUGUCGCUUAGUGCGUUCUGCGGUUCGAAUCCGCACCCCUGCA
This 84-nucleotide transfer RNA is filed under the name Candidatus Iainarchaeum sp. RNAcentral describes it as "tRNA-Leu". It matches the Rfam family "tRNA". From Rfam's summary of the family: Transfer RNA (tRNA) molecules are approximately 80 nucleotides in length. Their secondary structure includes four short double-helical elements and three loops (D, anti-codon, and T loops). The record is from RNAcentral. Lineage: Archaea; Nanobdellati; Candidatus Iainarchaeota; Candidatus Iainarchaeia; Candidatus Iainarchaeales; Candidatus Iainarchaeaceae.